RNAcentral lists this ribosomal RNA (492 nucleotides) under uncultured bacterium. RNAcentral describes it as "partial 16S ribosomal RNA". It matches the Rfam family "Bacterial small subunit ribosomal RNA", at positions 29 to 507 of the family's 1533-position model. The record is from RNAcentral.
AGUGAACGCUGGCGGUAGGCCUAACACAUGCAAGUCGAACGGCAGCACAGUAAGAGCUUGCUCUUACGGGUGGCGAGUGGCGGACGGGUGAGGAAUACAUCGGAAUCUACUUUUUCGUGGGGGAUAACGUAGGGAAACUUACGCUAAUACCGCAUACGACCUACGGGUGAAAGCAUGGGAUCUUCGGACCUUGCGCGAUUGAAUGAGCCGAUGUCGGAUUAGCUAGUUGGCGGGGUAAAGGCCCACCAAGGCGACGAUCCGUAGCUGGUCUGAGAGGAUGAUCGGCCACACUGGAACUGAGACACAGUCCUGACUCCUACGGGAGGCAGCAGUGGGGAAUAUUGGACAAUGGGCGCAAACCUGAUCCAGCCAUACCGCGUGGGUGAAGAAGGCCUUCGGGUUGUAAAGCCCUUUUGUUGGGAAAGAAAAGCAGCAGGUUAAUACCCCGCUGUUCUGACGGUACCCAAAGAAUAAGCACCGGCUAACUUCGUG